CAUGAUAGUGGAGUUCAUGAUCGUCAUCUUGUAAGGAUGACUGGUUGCCCUAAAUUUCCCAGAAGAUCUUGUUAGCUGAAAGUUUUCGAUGGUUCUCCAUUCGCCAAAGACAAUAUGUCUUUGGAUCUUGUUCAGUUGCUGCUUUUUCACUGUGGCAUGGAUCAGAGUACCCUAACAGAAAAAAAAAUGUAUACUAUUAAGAUGAGGAUUAUCACAUAUUAGAAAACAAAGCGUGGUUUGAUAUCGGACAGAGGAGUUGUACCAUCAUUGCCGGCUAUUUGCGAUUGCUUGGUAUAGAUGAGAUAAUCUGUUUGGAAACGUGGAAAGCUUAUUGAAGAUCC
Non-coding RNA from Camelina sativa (false flax), 341 nucleotides. The record is from RefSeq and is a predicted model, not a curated record. Lineage: Eukaryota; Viridiplantae; Streptophyta; Magnoliopsida; Brassicales; Brassicaceae.